This 504-nucleotide small RNA is filed under the name uncultured Entrophospora. Its description in RNAcentral is "SSU rRNA". It matches the Rfam family "Eukaryotic small subunit ribosomal RNA", at positions 569 to 1072 of the family's 1831-position model. The record is from RNAcentral. Lineage: Eukaryota; Fungi; Glomeromycota; Glomeromycetes; Entrophosporales; Entrophosporaceae.
AGCAGCCGCGGUAAUUCCAGCUCCAAUAGCGUAUAUUAAAGUUGUUGCAGUUAAAAAGCUCGUAGUUGAAUUUCGGGAUUGACACAUCGGUCGUGCCUUAAGGGGUAUGAACUGGUGUAGUCAAUUUCUCACCUUCUGGAGAACCGCGAUGCCCUUAAUUGGGUGUCACGGGGAACCAGGACCUUUACUUUGAAAAAUUAGAGUGUUUAAAGCAGGCAUUUUGCUUGAAUACAUUAGCAUGGAAUAAUAAAAUAGGACGGCAUGAUUCUAUUUUGCUGGUUUCUAGGAUCACCGUAAUGAUUAAUAGGGAUAGUUGGGGGCAUUAGUAUUCAAUUGUCAGAGGUGAAAUUCUUGGAUUUAUUGAAGACUAACUACUGCGAAAGCAUUUGCCAAGGAUGUUUUCAUUAAUCAAGAACGAAAGUUAGGGGAUCGAAGACGAUCAGAUACCGUCGUAGUCUUAACCAUAAACUACGCCGACUAGGAAUCAGACGAUGUUAAUUUUUA